UACGUAGGGUGCAAGCGUUGUCCGGAAUUAUUGGGCGUAAAGAGCUCGUAGGCGGUUUGGCGCGUCAGCUGUGAAAACCUGGGGCUCAACCCCGGGCCUGCAGCCGAUACGGGCAAGCUAGAGUUCGGUAGGGGAGACUGGAAUUCCUGGUGUAGCGGUGAAAUGCGCAGAUAUCAGGAGGAACACCGGUGGCGAAGGCGGGUCUCUGGGCCGAUACUGACGCUGAGGCGCGAAAGCGAGGGGAGCAAACAGG
This 253-nucleotide ribosomal RNA is filed under the name uncultured bacterium. RNAcentral describes it as "partial 16S ribosomal RNA". It matches the Rfam family "Bacterial small subunit ribosomal RNA", at positions 524 to 776 of the family's 1533-position model. The record is from RNAcentral.